CUAGCUAUAUGCAACGGUGAGUUUAGAAGGUUUGAUAGUACUCUGACUGUUGCAUGUAAAAGUAAUGGUAUCGUGAGAAGAUAAAAAUAUCUUGCUUUAUUGUCGGCUGGAUUUGGACUAGUGUCAAUGUUAAACUGUCGCUUCAUAACAAGUACAAUUGGCGUUUUUACGCGAUAACUCGGUCGGUGAGCUUAUCCAUGCGGAGUUUUUCGAAAUCGAGUUUCAGGGUCAGAGGGUAACGUAAUCGACAAGUUCUCUCUGCCAUUCGCACACUUGUGCUUAAGCACCGAUGAUAUGAUGAGUUAACUACCAACCACGUCCUAGGGGCAUGAUUGUGUCAGCCACCUACUAUCUGAUAUAGCAGUCGGCGUGUCUUCACACGCAUCGAACUGCAUUAUAAAAGAGGACAUACCAUUUUUGACAAGUAAGG
This 430-nucleotide long non-coding RNA is filed under the name Actinidia chinensis (golden kiwifruit). RNAcentral describes it as "long non-coding RNA (ACHI_LNC006105)". The record is from RNAcentral. Lineage: Eukaryota; Viridiplantae; Streptophyta; Magnoliopsida; Ericales; Actinidiaceae.